UACGGAGGGGGCUAGCGUUGUUCGGAAUUACUGGGCGUAAAGCGCACGUAGGCGGCUUUCUAAGUCGGGGGUGAAAUCCUGGAGCUCAACUCCAGAACUGCCUUCGAUACUGGAGAGCUUGAGUCCGGGAGAGGUGAGUGGAACUGCGAGUGUAGAGGUGAAAUUCGUAGAUAUUCACAAGAACACCAGUGGCGAAGGCGGCUCACUGGCCCGGUACUGACGCUGAGGUGCGAAAGCGUGGGGAGCAAACAGG
Molecule: ribosomal RNA, 253 nt
Filed under: uncultured bacterium
Lineage: Bacteria
Description: partial 16S ribosomal RNA
Rfam family: Bacterial small subunit ribosomal RNA
Source: RNAcentral